This 119-nucleotide ribosomal RNA is filed under the name Gossypium arboreum. The record is from RNAcentral. Lineage: Eukaryota; Viridiplantae; Streptophyta; Magnoliopsida; Malvales; Malvaceae.
GGGUCCGAUCAUGCCCUCACUAAUGCACCAGAUCCCAUCAGAUUUCCGCAGUCAAGCAUGCUUGGGCGAGAGUAGUACUAGGAUGGGUGACCUCCUGGGAAGUCCAUGUGUUGCCCCCU